Long non-coding RNA from Macaca fascicularis (crab-eating macaque), 1591 nucleotides. The record is from Ensembl. NCBI's taxonomy places the organism in Eukaryota, Metazoa, Chordata, Mammalia, Primates, Cercopithecidae.
UGUAGAGAUGAGGUCUCACUAUGUUGCCCAGCCUGGUCUCAAAUCUCAAACUCCUGGGCUUAAGUGAUCCUCUUGUCAUAGCCUUCCAAAGUGCUGGGAUUACAGGCAUGAACCACCGUGCCCAGCCGAAAUACCAGCUUCUACUCCGUGGAAUGGCUAGAAUCUAAAUGGCAGCUAAUAGCAAGUGGUGGCGAGGGUGUGGAGAACUUGGAACCCUUGGGCAUUGCUGGUGGGAAUGUGAACUGAUGGAGCUGCUACGGAAAAGUCUGGCAGUUUCGCAGAAAGUUAAACACAGGGUUACCACAUGACCCAGAAAUUCUACUCCUAAGUAUAUACCCAAGGCAGCUGAAUACAUGUUUACACAAAAGCUCGUACAUCAGUCUUCCCUGAAGCAUUAUUCACAACAGCUCUGAAUGGAAAAAACCCAAAUAUCCACCAAGUUCAACAAAAUGUUUAUCCUGAUCCACACGAUGGAAUAUGACUCAGCCAUAAAGAAGAACGAGGUUCUGACACCUGGCACAAGACGCAGGCACAUCUUGAAAACAUUAGGCCGAGAGAAGGCCCCCGUCGCCAGCAUCGGCUCUGUCCACUCUUUGCCUGAGGAGCCCCGUUUUUCCAAGGACCAUGCAGUGGUCUCACCUAUGCCUCAGUGGGCCUGGGGGCCAGCAUGAGGGUCCCCAAAGCGAUGCCUAAGCCCUGGACUCAUGGGCAAUGAUGCAGGACCUCGGAUUCCGUCCCCCAACCCGGGCGGCAUGCCCCAGGACCACGGCUGUGCUCGGGUGGUGUUACCCCCGGGAGAACCCUGCCCGGCCUGCUGGUGCCGGUGACAUUCAGAUAUUUUAGGGGGACACCUCUGGAGGCUGUCCACAGCCCUGCUCUCCCUCCCAUCCAGACAGGACUCCACGGGGGUGCUGGGAGGCAGAUCCUUGCCAAAGAUGCUAGGUGGGCAGACGCCCUCCCCUCCGACCACUGAUGCCUCGUUCCUGGGCCCAGCCUGGUGCUGGACUCCACCACCCCAUGCCUCAUUUAUCAGGAGUGUACUGAGUGUCCACCGCUGGGCAAGAGACCUCACGCGUAUCCCCACCUUUAAACCCCAACGCUUCUGGAGCAGGUGUUCACGUUCCCGGUGAGGAAACAGGUUCCAGGUGGACACAGCUGCGGCUCUCAGCUCAUCAGGUGCUGCCCUGGACUCUCCCAAGUGGACCUUCAGCGCCCACCAGACAGACACAUCUAGACCGGUCUGGACCCCACGCGUGGCUGUCCCUGGGGCCCACAUGGUUCCACGGCUGACACCUCUCAACUUGAGCUAGAGGUAGACAGGGUCCACACAACCUCAAAGCCGGCCUCGCCCGCUGUCAACUCCACACCUCUCCCACCUCAAGGACUCUCUGGGGACACUCUCCCCACACUGGCCCAAGUUCCAAGGCCCUUCCUGUCUGUCUCCCUUCCCAAGAAGUGGAAAGGGAGGGGCCGUGAGCCAUCCCCAUCCACUAGCUGCUGCCCCCUUUGGUGCGAAGGGCAGAGAUCCCUCUGCCACAGUGAGAGGAGCCUCGGUCCGCUGGUGGGGUCCUCAACGAAAGCUAGAUCCCCG